UACGGGGGGAGCAAGCGUUGUUCGGAUUUACUGGGCGUAAAGGGCGCGUAGGCGGUUAGCACAAGUCAGUUGUGAAAUCUCCGAGCUUAACUCGGAAAGGUCAACUGAUACUGUGCGACUAGAGUGCGGAAGGGGCAACUGGAAUUCUUGGUGUAGCGGUGAAAUGCGUAGAUAUCAAGAGGAACACCUGCGGCGAAGGCGGGUUGCUGGGCCGACACUGACGCUCAGGCGCGACAGCGUGGGGAUCAAACAGG
Molecule: ribosomal RNA, 254 nt
Filed under: uncultured bacterium
Lineage: Bacteria
Description: partial 16S ribosomal RNA
Rfam family: Bacterial small subunit ribosomal RNA
Source: RNAcentral